AGCAGCCGCGGUAAUUCCAGCUCCAAUAGCGUAUAUUAAAGUUGUUGCAGUUAAAAAGCUCGUAGUUGAAUUUCGGGAUCAAUAUGUUGGUCGUGCCUCGGUACGUACUAGCUUAUUGGUUUCUCCUUUCUGAAGAACCAUGAUGUCAUUUAUUUGGUGUCGUGGGGAAUCAGGACUGUUACUUUGAAAAAAUUGAGUGUUUAAAGCAGGCUCACGCUUGAAUACAUUAGCAUGGAAUAAUGAAAUAGGACGUUCGAACCUAUUUUGUUGGUUUCUAGGAUUCAACGUAAUGAUUAAUAGGGAUAGUUGGGGGCAUUAGUAUUCAAUUGUCAGAGGUGAAAUUCUUGGAUUUAUUGAAGACUAACUACUGCGAAAGCAUUUGCCAAGGAUGUUUUCAUUAAUCAAGAACGAAAGUUAGGGAUCGAAGACGAUCAGAUACCGUCGUAGUCUUAACCAUAAAACUAUGCCGACUAGGGAUCGGAUGAUGUUAAUUUUUAUGUACUUCAUUCGGCGCCUUACG
Molecule: ribosomal RNA, 520 nt
Filed under: uncultured Glomus
Lineage: Eukaryota; Fungi; Glomeromycota; Glomeromycetes; Glomerales; Glomeraceae
Description: SSU rRNA
Rfam family: Eukaryotic small subunit ribosomal RNA
Source: RNAcentral